RNAcentral lists this ribosomal RNA (1260 nucleotides) under Triticum aestivum (bread wheat). RNAcentral's name for it is "partial small subunit ribosomal RNA". Lineage: Eukaryota; Viridiplantae; Streptophyta; Magnoliopsida; Poales; Poaceae. The record is from RNAcentral.
AUGGGGGCACGAAGGAGGGAUUCUACGGGUGUCAUUGCAUCCCGCGGCGUGUGCAUGGUGCGCUGGUUGUGUGUGGCCAUGCGUGGGGCACCCCCUUAUUUAGCUCAUGCGCACCGAGCAGUCGUGGCCAUGCAUGAUGCACCUCCCGCUGAUGGGUCCUCCGUUGCUGGUACUGCAGGUGGAUCCAAUCUGGGUCCACGCGGGCCUGCAGCCAUUCUACUAGGUGGUGGUGUGGAUCCCCUUCUCUUCGACGCGAUGGCAUCCACAUGGUGGAUCUUGCCAUCGUUGUUAUGGUCUCGGUUGGCUUGGAACCUGCAUUCUCCAGUGCCUAGAUCCCCGAUGUUCCUCCCGUCCAAUGUUCGCGCUUCCGGUGGCAUAGCCCCCCUUCUUGCGAUGGCGGCAUCAGCUUAUGACAUGUUCAUGUCUUUGGAUCCAGUCCAACGCUUUGGGAUUGUUCGGACAUUUGCCAACACAAAAUCCCUGCUUGAUGCUGACAGAGCAACACUUGCAGGUGCCAUCCCCUUCCUGGAGGCACUGCCAAGGCCUAUUCUCCGAGCGCUAAGGGAAACCCCAGAUCUAGUUCCUCAGCUUCUGCUUGGGCCGAGCACAACAUGUCUCCCUGCUUCGAGCACCAUGUUUACGUCAUCUUUGGUUGUGCUAUGUGAUGUAUCCCUCUAUGUUCUCACUUCAACUGCUUCUAUACCAAUGAAAGAUACACACUUGUCGUCUUUCCCACGGGCUCAUCUCCGCAGCUCGUCAACGAGCCCCGCCGCCAUUAGCAUCACGGGUGUCCCACGUGAGCACCAGGUGUCGGUGUGGAGCAGCCUGCUGGGUGCGUGUCGGAUGCACCAGAAUGUGGAGCUUGGCGAGAUCGCCGCCGAGUGGCUCUUCGAGCUGGAGCUCGGCGAGGCCAGCCACUGUGUGCUCCUCUACAACAUCUACUCCGCCGUCGGGAUGUGGGAGAAGCCGGUUGCGGAGCCCGGGUGCAGCUGGGUCGAGCUCAACAGCGCGAUCCAACAGUUCAUGGCCGGCGAGUCGUCCUUGUCCCACCCGGCAAGCGCCGAGGUGCACGCGCACAUGGACACGCUUUGGGAGCUGAUGCGGUGCGAGGGGUACGCGCCCGACUGGUCGUGCGUGCUCCACGACGUCGACAAGGCCAGAAGGUGGCCAUGCUCCAGUACCACAGCGAGAACCUCGCCAUCCCCUUCGGGCUACUACGGGCGCCGCCCGAUGCGGCCAUCAAGGUGGCCAAGAACCUGA